Molecule: ribosomal RNA, 468 nt
Filed under: uncultured bacterium
Lineage: Bacteria
Description: partial 16S ribosomal RNA
Rfam family: Bacterial small subunit ribosomal RNA
Source: RNAcentral
GACGAACGCUGGCGGCGUGCUUAACACAUGCAAGUCGAACGGAAAGGCCCUGCUUUUGUGGGGUGCUCGAGUGGCGAACGGGUGAGUAACACGUGAGUAACCUGCCCUUGACUUUGGGAUAACUUCAGGAAACUGGGGCUAAUACCGGAUAGGAGCUCCUGCUGCAUGGUGGGGGUUGGAAAGUUUCGGCGGAUGGGGAUGGACGCGCGGCUUAUCAGCUUGUUGGUGGGGUAGUGGCUUACCAAGGCUUUGACGGGUAGCCGGCCUGAGAGGGUGACCGGCCACAUUGGGACUGAGAUACGGCCCAGACUCCUACGGGAGGCAGCAGUGGGGAAUAUUGCACAAUGGGCGGAAGCCUGAUGCAGCAACGCCGCGUGCGGGAUGACGGCCUUCGGGUUGUAAACCGCUUUCGCCUGUGACGAAGCGUGAGUGACGGUAAUGGGUAAAGAAGCACCGGCUAACUACGUG